GUGCCCUUUUAAGGCUGAUUCAGUACUUUAAUUGGUUAACACAAAAGGGUAAUGUAACUCUCCACAAAAUCUAGGGAAGAGAAAGUCUUCUUUGGAUCCUGUCUGGAGUUACAGAU
This is a non-coding RNA of Erinaceus europaeus (western European hedgehog), 116 nucleotides long. NCBI's taxonomy places the organism in Eukaryota, Metazoa, Chordata, Mammalia, Eulipotyphla, Erinaceidae. The record is from Rfam.